RNAcentral lists this ribosomal RNA (253 nucleotides) under Intestinimonas butyriciproducens. RNAcentral describes it as "partial 16S ribosomal RNA". It matches the Rfam family "Bacterial small subunit ribosomal RNA", at positions 524 to 776 of the family's 1533-position model. The record is from RNAcentral. Lineage: Bacteria; Bacillati; Bacillota; Clostridia; Eubacteriales.
UACGUAGGUGGCAAGCGUUAUCCGGAUUUACUGGGUGUAAAGGGUGUGUAGGCGGGUCUGCAAGUCAGAUGUGAAAACUAUGGGCUCAACUCAUAGCUUGCAUUUGAAACUGUGGAUCUUGAGUGUCGGAGAGGUAAAUGGAAUUCCCGGUGUAGAGGUGAAAUUCGUAGAUAUCGGGAGGAACACCAGUGGCGAAGGCGGUUUACUGGACGAUUACUGACGCUGAGACACGAAAGUGUGGGGAGCAAACAGG